Molecule: transfer RNA, 78 nt
Filed under: Gandjariella thermophila
Lineage: Bacteria; Bacillati; Actinomycetota; Actinomycetes; Pseudonocardiales; Pseudonocardiaceae
Description: tRNA-Gly
Source: RNAcentral
CCGGGUGCUGGCCAGGGACGAGGCGCCGAGCUGCCGGCUCGCCGCGCUGGCCGAGCUGUUCCACGCCACCACCCGGCC